This 447-nucleotide ribosomal RNA is filed under the name uncultured bacterium. RNAcentral describes it as "partial 16S ribosomal RNA". It matches the Rfam family "Bacterial small subunit ribosomal RNA", at positions 29 to 523 of the family's 1533-position model. The record is from RNAcentral.
AACGAACGCUGGCGGCAGGCUUAACACAUGCAAGUCGAACGCACCGCAAGGUGAGUGGCAGACGGGUGAGUAACGCGUGGGAACCUACCCCUUGGUACGGGACAGCUCCGGGAAACUGGAGAUAAUACCGUAUGUGACCUGAGGGUCAAAGAUUCAUCGCCAAGGGAUGGGCCCGCGUCGGAUUAGCUAGUUGGUGGGGUAGCGGCCUACCAAGGCGACGAUCCGUAGCUGGUCUAAGAGGAUGAUCAGCCACAUUGGGACUGAGACACGGCCCAAACUCCUACGGGAGGCAGCAGUGGGGAAUAUUGGACAAUGGGCGCAAGCCUGAUCCAGCCAUGCCGCGUGAGUGAUGAAGGCCCUAGGGUUGUAAAGCUCUUUCACCGGGGACGAUAAUGACGGUACCCGGAGUAGAAGCCCCGGCUAACUUCGUGCCAGCCGCCGCGGUAA